UAGUCCACGCUGUAAACGAUGUCGAUUUGGAGUUUGGGGGCAUGACCCUUGGGCUCCGGAGCUAACGCGUUAAAUCGACCGCCUGGGGAGUACGGCCGCAAGGUUAAAACUCAAAUGAAUUGACGGGGGCCCGCACAAGCGGUGGAGCAUGUGGUUUAAUUCGAUGCAACGCGAAGAACCUUACCUGGUCUUGACAUCCAUAGAAUCUUUCAGAGAUGAGAGAGUGCCUUCGGGAGCUAUGAGACAGGUGCUGCAUGGCUGUCGUCAGCUCGUGUUGUGAAAUGUUGGGUUAAGUCCCGCAACGAGCGCAACCCCUAUCCUUUGUUGCCAGCACGUAAUGGUGGGAACUCAAAGGAGACUGCCGUUGAUAAAGCGGAGGAAGGUGGGGACGACGUCAAGUCAUCAUGGCCCUUACGACCAGGGCUACACACGUGCUACAAUGGCGUAUACAAAGGGAUGCGAAGGUGCGAACUGGAGCGGACCUCACAAAGUACGUCUAAGUCCGGAUUGGAGUCUGCAACUCGACUCCAUGAAGUCGGAAUCGCUAGUAAUCGUGAAUCAGAAUGUCACGGUGAAUACGUUCCCGGGCCUUGUACACACCGCCCGUCACACCAUGGGAGUGGGUUGCACCAGAAGUAGAUAGCUUAACCUUCGGGAGGGCGUUUACCACGGUGUGGUUCAUGACUGGGGUGAAGUCGUAACAAGGUAACCA
Molecule: ribosomal RNA, 712 nt
Filed under: uncultured Enterobacteriaceae bacterium
Lineage: Bacteria; Pseudomonadati; Pseudomonadota; Gammaproteobacteria; Enterobacterales; Enterobacteriaceae
Description: bacterial SSU rRNA
Rfam family: Bacterial small subunit ribosomal RNA
Source: RNAcentral